Molecule: ribosomal RNA, 253 nt
Filed under: uncultured bacterium
Lineage: Bacteria
Description: partial 16S ribosomal RNA
Rfam family: Bacterial small subunit ribosomal RNA
Source: RNAcentral
UACGAAGGGGGCGAGCGUUGUUCGGAUUUACUGGGCGUAAAGGGCGCGCAGGCGGCUCAUUUUGUCAGGCGUGAAAGCCCCGGGCUUAACCUGGGAACUGCGUUUGAUACGGAUGGGCUAGAGUUCGGGAGAGGAGAGUGGAAUUCCCAGUGUAGAGGUGAAAUUCGUAGAUAUUGGGAAGAGCACCGGUGGCGAAGGCGGCUCUCUGGACCGAGACUGACGCUGAGGCGCGAAAGCGUGGGGAGCAAACAGG